This 2254-nucleotide long non-coding RNA is filed under the name Canis lupus familiaris (dog). Its description in RNAcentral is "lncRNA (ENSCAFG00000052157.1)". The record is from RNAcentral. Lineage: Eukaryota; Metazoa; Chordata; Mammalia; Carnivora; Canidae.
AUGAAAAACCAGCAGGAAGCCAGGCGUCAUGCCAGUGGGAUGGGAUUGCGGCUGGCAGCGGGGGAGUUGUCAUGUGUCGACCCGGCACACCAGAAAAGGCUCACAUCCUUCUGCUGGGCCUCUGCGCUGCCUGUGAUCUCUUCUGAAGCCUGGCUCCUCUGGCCAAGUGUCAAGAUACUUCGGAAAGUUCCUCCUGGUCCCCUGGUGUUUAGGAAAAUCUCACAAAAGUGUCUUAGCCUUGCGGUAAGCCUACCCCCCUGGACACCUUUCUCAGAACAGGAUGUCCUGAAUCAUUCUAGAAUUUCAAGAUCUGUAGUACCAUGAAGGGGAUGAGGGGUGGAGAGGAGCCAGAGAAACACUUUACGUAGGGACAUCUCCUUCUGGAAGUCAACAGCCAGUGCUCAAAAUCCCAAAUGUUGUUGAUCUUCGCGUAUCUCCAAGGCCUUCAGACGUAAUGCUUGGCUGUGGUGGAACCAGUUUUUAUUUUUGUCUCCCCAAUCCACCUCAGACUGGCACUUCUAUAAAAUACAAUUCUGAAUGAAUGACUAGAAAAACAAAGACUUACAAAAUACAACCUCCACGACUGUGCAUUCGUAUGUUGCAACAUCAAAAUGCCAUGUGCACUUCUAAAUGCUGACUGUCCCUUCUGUACAUAUCCCACUGAGGAGGGUGAUAAAUGUCUGUGCACGGAGCACACUUAGAGUACACGGUACAGGUCAAUGAUCAGCUCAGUUAAGGUAAGAAUCCUGAAAGUGUUCUUUGUUCUUUGGUAUGUGAAUCUACGGCCAGAGACUUUCUCAGUCAACAAAAGGAAAGCAGCCUUGAUGGUUUAUUAUUCACUCAGGCCUCGUUAUGGGGGAAAGGGAACUUUCUCCAACAGCUGAAGGAUCCCCAAAGCCCCCAUCUCUCUGGCAGGAGACAGAGGUGGCUUUGCUUGGUUUGGUUAUUCAGAACUGCCAAGAAAGGGAGGAAGCAGCAACUCACACCUUGAGGGGAACUGGAGGUGGGUUUGGUUCAGAGAUGGUGAGGAUGGGCCUUGUCUACUCCCCCAUCUGCAGGGAAGCUGGUUCAAGUAAAGGAGUCUUUGAGCCACAUUUGCUUUAAGAUUCUGUUGGGAUGAAUGCGCCAAAGUCAAAGUCAUGACCACUCUUACAAGAAAACCCAGCGGGAGUAAACCUAAACUUACAAAGUGGUUAUUGGUCAUUAGGAUGGCUCAAGUGUUUCCUAUGUGUCAUGCACAGUGCUGAGAGCUCUCAAGGGCUUAUCCCCAUUAUCCUAUUAGGUUUUUCCCGUCAUUAUAAUGGUCACUUUACAGAUCAAGGAUCUGGCUGGAAGGAGCCAGAGUGCCCUGCCCAGGAGGUGCAGCUGGUGAAUGGCAGAGCUGGGAUUUGAACACAGACCGUCUGACUUCAAAGCACCUUUUCUCAGUGCAUCACGUCACCUUCUAGAUCCAUUAGAGAGAUUAAUUACGACUUUGUGGGAAAAGAUUCCCGGGCCCGAGCCUCCCCAGAGUCAACGGUAACUUCUGUGCGUGUCCCUGUGAUGCUAGGGUGAGAACAGAACCACAUUUUGAGCAGUGGUUCUCAAACUCCAGUGUGCCAGCAGCAGAUUCACCCAGGGGGCUGCUUAUAACACAGUGCUGGGCUCUUCCCCGCCAACAGUGGGAUUCAGGGAGGUGAGAACAGAGGAUUUGCAUUCCUAACAGGCAGCAGGUGAUGCUGAGGCUCCCCAUUGGAGAGACAGGUGGGUCUAAGUGCUGACAUGUUGUCUGAAUAGGGGGAUUGUUCCCUCGGUGAGGCAUACUGGGGAGGCGGGAGGCCAGUGACAUCUGUCCACUCCAGGGGCUUCCCACCACCCCUUUCUUCUUGAGGACUUGCCUUUUAUUCUAAAGCACCAGACAGGGGAUCCCUGGGUGGCCCAGCUGGAGUCCUGGGAUCGAGUCCCAUGUCAGGCUCCCUGCAUGGAGCCUGCUUCUCCCUCUGCCUGUGCCUCUGCCUCUCUCUCUCAUUCUCUCUGUGGGUGUGUCUCUCAUCUCUCAUGAAUAAAUAAAUAAAAUCUUAAAAAAAAAAAAAAAAGCACCAGACAGUCUAAUUGAGCCCAGUCCUAACAGUGAGCUUGGGAGUAACAAGGCUCAAGAGCAUAUGGCCUCAUUGGAGAAAUUGCACAACGGCGCCCUGGCCAGUGGCAGACACACCAUAGGUGUUUGCUAAAUGCCCAGGUCGAUUCUCCCCAGUUGACAAAUCCUGUGACUUCC